UACGGGGGGGGUAAGCGUUGUUCGGAAUUACUGGGCGUAAAGGGCUCGUAGGCGGCCAACUAAGUCGUACGUGAAAUCCCUCAGCUUAACUGGGGAACUGCGUGUGAUACUGGAUGGCUUGGAUUUGGGAGAGGGAUGCGGAAUUCCAGGUGUAGCGGUGAAAUGCGUAGAUAUCUGGAGGAACACCGGUGGCGAAGGCGGCAUCCUGGACCAAUAUUGACGCUGAGGAGCGAAAGCCAGGGGAGCAAACGGG
RNAcentral lists this ribosomal RNA (253 nucleotides) under uncultured bacterium. RNAcentral's name for it is "partial 16S ribosomal RNA". It matches the Rfam family "Bacterial small subunit ribosomal RNA", at positions 524 to 776 of the family's 1533-position model. The record is from RNAcentral.